UUCUACAGUAGCGCGUCAAGAAACAGGGGCGAGCUCGCUCCGGCGAUUUCGAUCCUUUCCACCACCGGCGAGCUUGUGAGGUCAAGGGCUUCCCUUCCUCUAGUUAUCAUCUACCCAUCAUCAGCCGGCGAUGCCAUUUCAACAACCUGAUCCAGAUUUGACUGCAUUUUUCGCUGUGAUUCUGAGAGGAAGAAGAAGAACGGAGAAGUGGAGUGAUCCGAUGGUUUCAGCCGAUUUCUCUCCCAUCUUCCAGCCAGCGAUCUUCUUCCCGUGAAGUUCCGACCACAUCCAAAUGAUGGGAGUGUUCUCUUAUGCUCGUUUCUAAUUUCUGCACAAUUCAUUUGAAUCUGCUAGAUCAGAGUUCUUUUGAUCAGUUUAUCAUCGAUUACAAGAUUCAGACAUUUUCGUCCAAUCCAAUGAGUGCUUAGGAAUGCCCUAGCUCACAUCGGUUCAUCACUUUCCCUAUUUGAUUUUUGCAUUUCUGUUUUCCAAUUUCCAAUUUCGCUUAUUGUUUCUUGGCUGUUUAGUUUUAUAGAUCUGAAUUGGUAAGGUUACAUGAAGUUUAGAUCUGUUUCUUAUUGUCUUUGAUGCAUCUGAAUGUUUGUUAACUCUUUGAGUGGAGAUCUGAUUUGUUCUUGAGUUCAUUGUUUAGUUCAUAAAUGCAAGAAUCUGAAUUGUUUGCUUUGUUCUUGUCUUGUUCUUGUUUUGUCAUUUAGUUUCUAAUCUGUUGGAUCUGUUAAUGAUGCAAUCCAUAGCAUAAAGUAACAAUAUGUUGUGGGUUCAUGAUUAAUAAAUAGAUAGGAUUUUCUUUAAUUUCAUUAAGUUUAGUUUCAUUACUUGCUUUGCUAUUUCGUAUCAUAGUUAAGAACUUAAUCCAAAACCCUAAUUCAAUAUCAAAAACCAAAAGUAAGAACGAAACAAUCCUAAGAUACCAUCAUUGUUAUAUUCGUUGGGAGACGACCCGAGUCAUAUCUAUACUACAUUAGUGUAGAAUGAAUUCGGUCACUUAAUUCUUUUAAUACCCAUUUCACGACAAAAAUAGGGUUUAUCAAAUUGGUGUCGUUGCCGGGGAAUUGUAGCGGUGUUUGAUACCUUAGAAUUGUUUUUUUUUUCUUUUUACAUAAAAAUAAAAAAAAUUGUUUCAAUUGCUUUCAUGUUCAUAUAUCCAUGUGUUUGAUAUUAUAUGCUCCUGUGUUUUCUGAUUCUAUUUGCUAGUAUUUCAGUGUAAGAGCAAGAAAUUUCUUUGACCAUGGAUCCAUUUUAUCAGUACUAUCAGCCUCAGACUUGGUUCUAUCAGCUUGAACAUCAGUACUAUCCACCAGUGGAUCAAUCAAAUUUCAGGUGCGAGGUUACACAUAGUCAGUCUACUGAGCCAUAUCUAGCAUAUCAAAGCCUACAGGGAGUUCAGGAUGAUUAUAUAGCUAUGCGAAAAAGGAUUCGUGGUAUUCAACAAUUCGAGGAGGAGACAUUACAUGAAUAUUGGAAGAGAUUUAAGGAACUUUGCUCUAGUUGUCCUCAACAUCAAAGCAGUGAUCAGAUGCUUGCCCUACAUUUUUAUGAUGGGCUUUCGCCGUUUGAUUUAUACAUGGUGGAUAAAGCUAGUGGAGGGCCUUUGAUUGAUAAGACUCCUGAUGAAGCUAUGAAACUUUUGGAAACCAUGGCAGCCAAUCCUCAGUAAUUUAGAAAUGGACAACCGGUUACCUUAAGAGUUGAUGAGACCAUUCCUACGAAUAUUGAGGUGCUUGAGCAGAGGGAUUGUAGUGUCUUUGACAGACCUGAUCUUGAUUUUAUUACUUCACAGGACUCCGAUCCUUUAGUAUUUCUUGUUAUGAUUCAGUAGUUGUAAGAAUUUCUGGCUCUACUGAUACUGUUGUUGUAGAUGUUACUGAUAAUGCAGGUACUGAUGUGGAUGAUGAUGUAAGUGUAGGGGAUUGCACAGUGGAAGCAAUACCCCAAGAAUCACCUGAACUAGAUGUGGAUGAUGAGAGUGUAGGGACUUGUACUAUAGAGGCAAGGACCCAAGAAUUACUAUCUGUGGUUGUACAUUCACCUGAGCCAAAACCAAAGCUUGAGCUAUUAUCUGAUGAGGAGGAGGUCACAGUCACCAUUUUAGAACCUCUAGGUACCUUUCAACAUGAAAAGGUUAAUAUUUCGUGUGAUUCAUCAAAAAAUUUCAUAAAGGUACCAUGGAUUGACUUUAUUGGAUGUGAUUUGUUUCUUGAUAUAUUUUCUGCAAAAACUAAUAUUUUUCUUUCUUCUUCUUAUCCUACAUGCAUGUGGGAGGUGUUGUUUUCCUUUGACUUUGUAGGUUGUCGUAGGCUUCCAAAAUGGUUGCUCCAUCUAAACCGUCUUCGACCUCCGGGAAGAAUUUUCAAAGGAAAAAUGUUGGAUGAAGUGGAUUUGACUGCAACUACAAUUAUUCCACUUCCAACUUGGAUUUUGCACCUUAAUCGACUCCAACCGCCCGGAAUUAAGGGGAGUUCAUUCCUUACUUUAAUUUUUGCUCUAUACUUUUCUUUAGUUUCAUACUUUGCAUUUGCAUUUUGUUUCUAUACUUUGCAUGUUGUUUAGUCUACAUAGCAUUUCAUUUUGAAUAAAACUCUCCAUGAAAUUGUUCUAGUAAUACUUUUAAGAUGAUAAAAACUUCUUAAAUUUGACCAUCAAGCUUUAGGUCAUUUGACAUGAUUGAAUGCUUUACUUGCAUGUUAUUGGUUGGCGUGGUAAUGGAUUCUGUUUUGAUUAACUAAGCUCGAUUGCUAAAAAUUACCUAGAGAGGACUACCUAAAGCCUAUACUCUAUUAUCUUUUUGUGUGAUAUGCACUCAUGAUAAUUGAACUCUAAAACUUGCUUUGCUUCUUUUUGAAAUCACAAUAAUAUUUGUAUGCAUGAAUAUGAUGAAGGAUUUCUUUUCAUCUAUUCUUUUAUUUCUUUUCCUUCCAAUCCUAGUUGAAUAACUCAAUCAACACUUUUAUCUUCUACCACAUUUGUUUUGCUUGUCAUUCUUUUAUUGAGAGUUUGGUUGAUUAUCUUGAUGAGUUAUUUUUUUUUCUAAGAUGGCCAAAGUUUUAAGUGUGGGGGAGAGAUGUUAUAAAAUUUUGGAAAUAUUGGAGAUUUAGCAAUUGUUCUUGAGGAUUGGUUCAUUUUCUUUGUUUUUGAUCUUGUUGGUGGAAUUAAUUCAAGGGUUGUAUUGUUGGGAAUUUAAUGAUGUUGAGCAGUCUUUGAGGUAGAAAAUGAAUUUGUUUUGAGUUGGUUGAUGAGGAAUGAAUAUUUGUGGUUUUCUUUGGAUGUUGUCGAAAACUAGUUGAAGAUAGAAUCUGCAGUUUUGUGGAAUUGGUAAAAAGAGCUCUUCACUUGAUGUAUCAAUCUCUACUUGUUGUGUGCCAAGUUUUGAUUAUAAACUUCUGAAUAGUAAGAUUCCAAGUGGAGAUUUCCCACUACUAUUUGAUGUUCCAACCUUUCAAUAUUUGAUCAUGAUCUGAGCAUGUAACUAAGAUGGAUGAAGAGUCUGGAAUUUUCUUUUUAACCUCAUUUCAGUGCUGAAAUCAGAGAAUGGAAUGCUUUAAAAAAAACAGAGAAUAAAAUAGAUGAAAAAGAGUGAAGGUAGAGGAGAGAAAAAAAAAGUGCCACUCAUUCUAAUCUUCACGAAGUCAUAGAAGGAAUGAGCCUAAAAUUUCUGCAGAAACCACGAAUCAUUUACAACAAAGGUCAUCUCUGAAAUUGAAGUAUCAACUUCAGCCUUUUGCGUACCAAAAUUCCCUUGGAAAUUUUCUAAGUGGAGCAUUUAAGUUCUCAGUGUUAUUUGGUGAUUACUUCUCUUCAAGCCUUCCAUGAUUCAAAACAUUCAAUGCCAUUGAAUCUGAUCUCUGAAAUUGCCCAGCUGAAUUGCAGUGCAGGGAAAGGUAAAAGUCAGUAUUGUUGCAAGUUAGUUUGUUUUUUUUCACCUAUACAAUUAAAAGAAAUAGAAAGGAGGAUAAUUAGCAAUAAAUUCAGAAUUCAGCCAGUGAAAUUGUGAGUGCCAAAUCUGUAGUGUGUCUUUGGACAGCAACAAGUAGGAUUUAAUCUCUUGACUUCCAAGUUCUUAAUGGGAUUUAUUGUUAAGCUGAAUUCCGCUUGAGUCAAGCUGAAAUCACCUUGGAAUUCAAGUUCUGGAACUUGAAGCUAAAAAAAACCUAUGCAAUUAGUAAACUGAUUUCUGAAUUGGUUGAAAAUGCUGAAUUGUAAAUCAGAUCCGAAUCUUUCCAGAAUAAAUGGUAUACUGAGAGGUGAAGAAUAAACUGCGGAUUUCUAAAACAAGUUUACAUGGAUUAUUUUCCAAGGAAGUAAGCAAGGAAAAGAAAUCCAGAAGUUGGAAGCUGCAGUGAAACAAAAUCUGUGUUCCCUUGCAAUUGUGUGCCAACUUUCUUUUGCAAACAGAUCAGUGAAAUGUUCAAGCUGAAGUUUUGUUUUCUCAGUGACAAAUGUAUUCCCUUCUUUCCAAGUCUUCAAUGAAUUUGAAAUCUGGAGUAUCAUGAGAUCUGGAAAAAAAAACUCUGAAACUGUGAAUGCAGAAUUUUGAUGUGGCUGCUAUGGUGUUCCAUAAAUUUUGUUUUUGUUUUCUAGUAAUUCAACAUGAAUGCAUUUUUAAAGUAGUUAAGAAAAUGAGUGCUAGUUGAAAGAGAAGUCUCUACAUGUCUAUUGUCAAUUGGUGUCAUUGCAUUUCCAAUUCUUUUAUGAUUAGAAUCUAGAAAUGAAACUGAGUUCUCAAUUGCAAUAGCCAUGAUUUGGUUUGAAGUUGCUAGAUUUUAUGGAACUUUUGAGUGUGAUUCUGAUGGGAUUUUAGAAAUCUAAGUUGCAAAGGAAUUGGUCCUUUGAGUGUUGAAUUUUAACCAAUCGUUUAAUAGAUGCAAAGCUGUGUAAUGAGCAUAAACAAGAAAAACACCUGCUUAUUGCCAAAUUUGAGCGCUCCUCUUAUUCUUUAUCAGUAAAUCUGUAGCAAUUUGAAUAUUUUGUGUGCAAAGUCUUUUUCACAGUGUGAUCAGUAAAGAUUCCUAGUGAAGCUCUUGCCCUUUUGUUGUCUUCCUUACCCAAUUCUUUUAUGGAUAAAAAUCUAUAAAUCCAGGAAGCUGUCAUCUGAAAUUGUUGAGUUGUGAAUUUGAUCAACAUUGUUGUUCUGUGCCAAUAACAGAUUAUGGGUGAACCAAUUGAGAUGUAUACAUUGGAAUUAAGAAAAAGAAAGAAGAAUAACUUGAAGGAACAAACAGAAAACUGAAAUUGAAAGGAAUUCACAAAGUUUUGAUAGCAACCUUUGAGAAGGGGCUAAUGUAGGAAGAUUAUCCAGUGAACUAAUUGUAAUUGUUGAAUCACAUAAGAUACAAGUCAGAGUUCUGAAUCUGUGUCAGAAAAAAAUGCUUUGUCCGAGACGGACAAUAUUUUAAGUGUGGGGGGAUGCAUUAGUUUUUUUUGCAUAAGGUUUGGAAUUAAAAAAACAACAAAAGAAGUAAUGAAGAGUAUCAAGUUGAGGAGACAAUGUAUCAAGAUUCUAUGGUAGUGAUCAAAUUGAAGAAGAGUUUGGCUUGAUCUCUUGUGUUAGUAAUGCAAAUGGUACUUAUCCCUUUUCAAUCAAUAGGGUCAACUCAUCAAAUGUAUUCCUCCAAUAUUCUCAUUUCUUCAUUGAUUUCUUUUCCCUUUUCCAUUUUGUUCACUUCACUUAAUUCUUUUUGAUUCCAUUGCAAUUCAUAAUAAAUCCUUUUGAUUCAUGCAUGUUAUGUUUUAUAGUGAUGGAGAAAUAGAAAAUAAGCAAGCAUAUGGUAGUGAAGUCUUAUGAGUGGCAUUGAGUUGAGCUCCAUUUAUACACAUGUUUGAGUAUGAGAGUUAGAAUAAGUAAAUACCUUGUGAGAUUGUAUCUUACUUAAUUCUUCAAAUGGUUUGAAACUACCAUACCUACUGAUUAUUGUUUGGAUUGAAUUCAUGAUUGUUUGUGAUCUUUAGAUGGUCUUAGGUAAAUUCCUUUUAUUAUCUUCUAGGUAUUGCUAGGGAAUUAUUGUGGAGAUGGUUUUUAGCUGUUUCUUUAUUUUGUUUACUUGCCCGGGACGUGCAAGAAUAAGUGUGGGGGAAUUUGAUAACCAUUAUUUGGUCAUGAUAUUUUGAUUCAUAUAAGCAUGUCAAUUGAUCUUCUCAUGUGUUAAUUCCACGUUUACAUCACAUUACAUGAGUUAUAUUCAUCUGUGGACUUAAUUGCAAAUUAUAUUAUAUUUGCGGUAUUUGAUACUAAUAUUUUGUUAUAUGUUUUGUAGGAUCAAAAGGGGCAUGGACUUGAUCAGAUCAGACUACGUUUGGAUUCAAAUCUAGGGCUAAUUGAAGAGAUCAAGUUCUGAAGCAAUAUGGACCGUCCAUCCAAGAUCAGAGUAGAUCUAAGUCAUCCGUGAAGAAUCUGGUUCAUCCAAGCCAAAGGGUAGUAGAUUACAACCAUUGAUCAAAAUCUGAAAAUUUGGAACAGAUUUGGAGCAAUUGCCACCGUUGGAUCGAUCCGAGGAAAUCACAACCGUUCAUCACAGAUCUGAGAUUUGAUUUAAAUCACAUGAGAAGUUACAGUGUUCAGUUGUCAAUUUUCUACAGUAGCACGUCAAGAAAUAGGGGCGAGCUCGCUUCGGCGAUUUCGAUCCUUUCCACCACCGGCGAGCUUGUGAGGUCAAGGGCUUCCCUUCCUCUGGUUAUCAUCUAUCCAUCAUCAGCCGACGAUGCCAUUUCAACAACCUGAUCCAGAUUUGACUGCAUUUUCCGUCGCAAUUCUGAGAGGAAGAAGAAGAACGGAGAAGUGGAGUGAUCCGGUGGUUUCAGCCGAUUUCUCUCCCAUCUUCCAGCCAACGAUCUUCUUCCUGUGAAGUUCCGACCACAUCCAAAUGAUGGGAGUGUUCUCUUAUGCUCGUUUCUAAUUUCUGCACAAUUCAUUUGAAUCUGUCAGAUCAGAGUUCUUUUGAUCAGUUUAUCAUCGAUUACAAGAUUCGGACAUUUUCAUCCAAUCCAGUGGUUCAUUUUCGAUUGUUAGAGAAGCCAACAGAAGAACAUUUUAGCAUAGAGUUGUCAUCAUGGUUAGACAAAAAAAGAAAGGGACAAUCAUGUUGGAAAAAUUGAAUGGUGAUCAAGCAAAUGUGUAAAAGUUCAUCAUCCACAAACAAGAUCCAAGCAUCAAUCACAAGUUCAACAAGCAUCAACAUUGCAAGCUCAAACUUUGGAGCUCAUUGAUGAACAACAAAACUUGCAAUCAAUUGAUCUACCUAAUUCACAACCUAGUUUAACCUUGCUAAAUUCAGGAGAAACUAAUAAUGGAGUGACUAAAAAACGAGGAAGAGGCCCUGCUCAGGGUAAUUUAUCUCAAGUGCAUCCUCCCACACGUGUACUAGAGAAACCACAACAACAAAAACCAAAUAAUAUAUUACGUCCAAUAGUUCAUCGUCCACAAACAAGAUCCAAGCAUCAAUCACAAGUUUAACAAGUAUCAACAUCACAAGCUCAAGCUUUGGAGCUCAUUAAUGAACAACAAAAUUCUCAAUCAAUUGAUCCACCUAAUUUAUGACCUAGUUUAACCUUAUCAAAUUCAGCGAAGAAGAGGCCCUGCUCAAGGGGAUUUACAAGUGGGUGAAAAGUUACUAGUUGAUUUCAACGAAUCAUUCCAUGCUAUUGGACCGAAUGCGGGAAAUUUAGUAAUCAAAAGGUUCAACAACUUGAAAGGCACAAAGAUAUUGGCAAACACAUAAACCAUCAUUUCUUAUUACGAGAUGAAAAGGAUUCUGAUGAAGAAGGAUUAUAGAAGUUAUCUCUAGAUCACGAGGAGUUGUUCUUUAGACUUUCUUUUGUGUAACUUUCAUGUGAAUAGUUAUUUUAUUAUUAUCAAAUUAUUGAUAGAUAUGUAGAUAUUUCUGUUAUUGGAUGAAUGUUGGAUGCACUUCAAUUAAUGAUUAUAGAAUUUUAUAUUGUGUAUAUCAUUUUUAAUUUAU
Long non-coding RNA from Zingiber officinale, 7973 nucleotides. RefSeq lists it as uncharacterized. The transcript is spliced from 8 exons. The record is from RefSeq and is a predicted model, not a curated record. Lineage: Eukaryota; Viridiplantae; Streptophyta; Magnoliopsida; Zingiberales; Zingiberaceae.